CAGGGAGACAACAAAAUGUUUAAUAUUAUUUUGUCACUUAGGUCGAUCGGUAUCUCACAUUCUUAAUUUAUUAAGAAUUUCCUUUCCUAAGUUUUUCUAGGUCACACCCAUUAUUUUUCCUGGGCCAUUAGCUCAGGUGGUUAGAGCGCACCCCUGAUAAGGGUGAGGUCCCUGGUUCAAGUCCAGGAUGGCCCAUAUCUCUAUGUUGGGGGUAUAGCUCAGUUGGUAGAGCGCCUGCUUUGCAAGCAGGAUGUCAGCGGUUCGAGUCCGCUUACCUCCACUGAUUACCACCUCUUCCAUAAAUUUAUAGAAGGGAAAUUUUUUGAGUCGUGACCAAAUCCUGAACGAAUCUAGCUUCCUAAUAGUUUUAUUAAGAUGCUGGACUCAUUGAAUUAAUUUCAUUGUUUUCAGAGAACCUUGACAACUGCAUAGAUUAUUUUUAAAGACAAUAAGCAUCUUUAAUGAUGCAGAUUUUUUAUUUGUGCGAAUGCAUUAAUAACAAUUUUAUUAAGCUGAUGCUUCAA
RNAcentral lists this transfer RNA (524 nucleotides) under uncultured Prochlorococcus sp. RNAcentral's name for it is "partial 16S-23S ribosomal RNA intergenic spacer". The stretch from base 208 to 280 matches the Rfam family "tRNA". Lineage: Bacteria; Bacillati; Cyanobacteriota; Cyanophyceae; Synechococcales; Prochlorococcaceae. The record is from RNAcentral.